Molecule: ribosomal RNA, 476 nt
Filed under: uncultured marine eukaryote
Lineage: Eukaryota
Description: bacterial SSU rRNA
Rfam family: Eukaryotic small subunit ribosomal RNA
Source: RNAcentral
UGCUGUUAAAAAGCUCGUAGUUGGAUCAAGAGUACAACAGUGCAAGGUGGCCUCGUUUGUGUCAGUGGCUCCGGUCGCUGGCACGGCGGCGGAUCAACCCCUUGCAUUAAACUGUUGUCUCUAACAGGCCGAAGCGGUUCCCUGUGAGUAGGCCACUUCAUUGGGGCUGAAAGCGCUGACGCAUCUACCACAUGCAUACGGGAGGUCGGCCAAUGUUACUGCGAACAAACCAGCGUGUCCAAAGCAGGCUUCCGCCUGAAUGUUCGAGCAUGGAAUAACAAGGGAUCGAUUCUCUCGGUUCUUUUUGUUGGUUUUUAACCCGAGAAGGAGUAAUUCAGGCCACGGUGUCUGGGCUGGGUUCCCCUAGGCUUCGGCUUAGGCCCCAGUUAGGCCGUGUUCUUACGGGAUAAAUAGGGACUGACGGGGGUCGCUACGUACUUCCACGUCAGAAGUGAAAUUCUUAGAUCGUGGGAAGA